RNAcentral lists this unclassified non-coding RNA (370 nucleotides) under soil metagenome. RNAcentral's name for it is "partial contains 5.8S ribosomal RNA, internal transcribed spacer 2, and large subunit ribosomal RNA". The stretch from base 1 to 121 matches the Rfam family "5.8S ribosomal RNA", at positions 35 to 154 of the family's 154-position model. The record is from RNAcentral.
GAUGAAGAACGUAGCGAAAUGCGAUAAGUAAUGCGAAUUGCAGAAUUCCAGUGAGUCAUCGAAUCUUUGAACGCACAUUGCGCCCUUUGGUAUUCCGAAGGGCAUGCCUGUUCGAGCGUCAUUAUCACCCCACAAGCCCCCGGCUUGGUGUUGGACGGCUUGGUGGAGACCCUUUUGUGGCCCACCCCUCCCAAAGACAAUGACGGCGGCCUCGUUGGACCCCCGGUACACUGAGUUCUUCACGGGACACGUAUCGGACACACGGGUUUACGGGUCACGGUCUGCCCCCCCUCAGGGAGAACUUUUCUAAGGUUGACCUCGGAUCAGGUAGGGAUACCCGCUGAACUUAAGCAUAUCAAUAAGCGGAGGA